Quercus lobata is the source of this 2800-nucleotide RNA transcript. It is a transcript of the gene named ARM repeat superfamily protein, with no coding region annotated. The record is from RefSeq and is a predicted model, not a curated record. NCBI's taxonomy places the organism in Eukaryota, Viridiplantae, Streptophyta, Magnoliopsida, Fagales, Fagaceae. The transcript has 8 exons.
AAAAAAUAAAAAACCAGUGAUAGGGCACAAGCGGUCGGAAGCAGGCCUCCAAAGUCGAAACGCAGGAUGACAUGACGCUGCCGUAGAAGUAGAAAAUCCCCAGUUCAAAUCCACUAUUAGACCGUGUGGUGUCAGUGUGGACACUAAAAAAUCGUGAUAUCAAAUACCGUUUUUAACUUAAAAAAACGUGAACUGAAAGAAGGAUUUCUAAAAAGUAAGUAAUACUCCUCCUCGUCCUGGAAGUGGAAAAUAGCUACUCUAGCUAGUUGUAAAGCUCAGAGGAACAGAACCGAACCGAACCGAAAAAAAUGUCAACGAAACGCAGACGAGAUUAUUACGACGAAGACGACAACAACGGCGAGGAGUACGAAAACGACGCCGUAUUUGCCAACGGCAGCAAGAGCCAGAAAGUUGAAGUGGAUCUCUCUCUCUUGGAAGCCUUAGAGAAAUCCCAAUCCCAAAACAAGAACGCAGUCGAAGUGGUCGACCUCAAAACCCUAAAGAAACUCGUCCUCUCCUUCGAGCGAAAGCUCAAGGACAACAUCGAAGCUCGCCUCAAAUACCCUAACCAACCCGACCGAUUCGCCGACUCCGAAAUCGACCUCCACGACGACCUCCACAAGCUCAGCAUCCUCGCCGGAGCUCCCGAGCUAUAUCCGGAUCUCGUCAAUCUCAAUGCGAUUCCUUCGAUUUUGAACCUCCUUGCUCACGAUAACACCGAUAUCGCCGUCGAUGUGGUUCAGUUGCUUCAGGAUCUGACGGAUCCUGAUGUCUUUGAGGACGAUGAGGAGAGUGAUGAGCCGGCUAGGGUUUUGGUUGACGCGCUGGUGGAGAACAAUGUGCUCGAGCUGCUUGUUCAGAAUCUGCAGCGGUUGAACGAUUCCGAUCCCGAUGAGAUGGCCGCGGUGUAUAGCACGCUCACGACGGUGGAGAAUCUGGUGGAGGUGAAGCCUGCGGUGGCGGAGAUGGUGUGCGAGAGGACGAAGUUGUUGAAGUGGUUGCUAGGGAAGAUAAAGGUGAGGGAGUUUGAUAGUAACAAGCAGUACGCGUCGGAGAUUCUGGCGAUUUUGUUGCAGAAUAGUGCGGCGAAUCAGAGGAGAGUAGGGCAGAUGAACGGCGUGGAUGUGGUGCUUCAGGCCGUGGCGAUGUACAAGUCGAAGGAUCCGAAGAGUUUGGAUGAGGAGGAAAUGGUGGAGAACUUGUUUGAUUGUUUGUGUUGCCUGUUGAUGCCGUUGGAGAACAAGGAGAGGUUUGUGAAGGCCGAAGGUGUGGAGUUGAUGAUCAUUAUUAUGAAGCAAAAGAAGUCGGCUUAUAGCUCGGCUAUUAGGGCACUUGAUUUCGCUAUGACGAAGUAUCCUCCGGCUUGUGAGCGUUUCGUUGAUGUGUUGGGAUUGAAGACUGCCUUUGCUGCAUUUAUGGGUAAGAUUCCUGUGAAUAAGAAAAACAAGAAAGAGCGCUACCAAGAGGAGUUAGAAGAGCGCAUUGUGUCACUUAUUGCAUCAUUAUUUGGUGGAAUUUUGAGGGGUUCUAGAAGGGAAAGAUUGUUGAGUAAAUUUGUUGAAAAUGAAUGUGAAAAAAUAGACCGGCUUAUGGAGCUUUAUAUGAGAUAUUCUGAUAGAGUCAAAACAGAGACCGAACGGCUAAAUCAUCUUGAACUCGAUGACUUGGAGAUGGAUGAAGAGGAGAAGUACAACCGGAAGCUAGAAUCUGGGCUUUACACUCUUCAGCUGAUCCAGGAAAGUAAUGGAGGUUAUAUGUGAUAAAAGAGAAGUUUCAGAGGCUAGGGCUGGUUAUGUUUAUAAUUGUAGAUUUGUAAAACCAGAAAAAAAGAUGGUGCAAAAUCGGUGGGCCCUGGACUUUUCUAUGUUGCUGUUCUGAUGCUACAAGGCAGCGUUUUGAUCGAUUAGAGUUUCCAAUCUUAUCAAGUUGUCACCUGGAUCACACUUAGUAGGCUUCUGAUGAAGCUAAUAGUCUUAUAGGAGGGUUGAUUCUGUUAUAUGAUAGACCCAGAACAAUUGUGUUAAUUCUCUAUGUCGAGUAAAGUAAUUGGGAAUAACUGGUUCAUUCUGGCUUUUAAAGAGCUCUUGUAGUGCUGGGAGCCUGUACCAGAUCUCUUGGUCAAAAGUGUUUGGUGAAAAAAUAAAGUAGAAGAGAAGCAGUUUGGAAAAUUAUACUUUUGAGCGGAAAUGGAUCUAAAGGACCAGCUACUUUUGGAUUGCAUGUGAAAAUAGUAAAAUUGCUCGCCCUUGCAUUAUGGAAAGGGAAUCAAUCUUUGGCUGAAAGGAAUUGUAACCACUAGUAUAGAUUGUUUUUCUCCUUUGUUUAAUGACAGUCUCUACUUUUAUGUGAAAUGUUGCUUUACCAAUUCAGAAAGGUGGUUUUUGAAGCACAUGGAAAUAAGUUGGCUGGGUAAACAAUCUUGAUGGAGUAUCCUCAACACUCUUGGAUUUGGAGUAUAUAAUCUCAAAUAUAAACACAGCAAAAAAUUGACAGCCGGGCUUACCACCAGCCUCUUGUUGUGAAAGUAGUACCUGUCACCUUUAUGUAGCAGGAACUCUGGGGGUUUACUUAUGGUAGUAGCUGGGAAGGGAACUUUUUAAUUUUAAAAAUUAGAGAAUGAAACUUAACUCUCUUAAUGUAAAUUUAAUCCUAUGUUAGCAUAAUGUUUGUGCCUCCAAAGAAACACUAUUGCUCAUGAAAUGCUAUAGCUGAUUGCCGUAAUUCUGGGUCAUAUUUGGUGCUCUGAGCAUCCCUAUAUGAGAGCAAGAAUUGAACUACUACUCAAGCAGCAAAAGCUUAC